This 779-nucleotide ribosomal RNA is filed under the name uncultured bacterium. Its description in RNAcentral is "bacterial SSU rRNA". It matches the Rfam family "Bacterial small subunit ribosomal RNA", at positions 8 to 796 of the family's 1533-position model. The record is from RNAcentral.
AGAGUUUGAUCAUGGCUCAGGACGAACGCUGGCGGCGUGCUUAACACAUGCAAGUCGAGGGCGCUGAGCAAUCAGCGACCGGCGAACGGGUGCGUAACACGUGAGCGACCUGCCGACGCGCGGGGGAUAGCCGGCCCAACGGCCGGGUAAUACCGCAUACGCUCUUUACGGGGCAUCUCGUGAAGAGGAAACCUCCGGGGCGCGUCGAGGGGCUCGCGGCCUAUCAGCUAGUUGGUGGGGUAACGGCCUACCAAGGCGAUGACGGGUAGCUGGUCUGAGAGGAUGGCCAGCCACAUUGGGACUGAGAAACGGCCCAGACUCCUACGGGAGGCAGCAGUGGGGAAUCUUGCGCAAUGGCCGAGAGGCUGACGCAGCGACGCCGCGUGUGGGAGGACGCCCUUCGGGGUGUAAACCACUGUUGCCCGGGACGAACGGCCCCUAUUGGGGGGCGUGACGGUACCGGGUGAGGAAGCACCGGCUAACUCCGUGCCAGCAGCCGCGGUAAUACGGAGGGUGCGAGCGUUGUCCGGAAUCACUGGGCGUAAAGGGCGCGUAGGCGGCUCGGUAAGCGGGCGGUGAAAGCCCGGGGCUCAACCCCGGGUCGGCCGUGCGGACUGCCGUGGCUUGAGCACUGUAGAGGCAGGUAGAAUUCCGGGUGUAGCGGUGGAAUGCGUAGAGAUCCGGAAGAAUACCGGUGGCGAAGGCGNNNNGCUGGGCAGGAGCUGACGCUGAGGCGCGACAGCGCGGGGAGCAAACAGGAUUAGAUACCCUAGUAGUCC